UUAAACUAAAGAGUUUGAUCCUGGCUCAGAUUGAACGCUGGCGGCAUGCCUUACACAUGCAAGUCGAACGGCAGCACGGAGCUUGCUCUGGUGGCGAGUGGCGAACGGGUGAGUAAUAUAUCGGAACGUACCCAGGAGUGGGGGAUAACGUAGCGAAAGUUACGCUAAUACCGCAUACGUCCUAAGGGAGAAAGUGGGGGA
Molecule: ribosomal RNA, 201 nt
Filed under: Duganella sp. CF402
Lineage: Bacteria; Pseudomonadati; Pseudomonadota; Betaproteobacteria; Burkholderiales; Oxalobacteraceae
Description: partial 16S rRNA. Bacterial SSU
Rfam family: Bacterial small subunit ribosomal RNA
Source: RNAcentral